GUGAGGGAGAUCUGGCUGUGACAUCUGUCACCCCAUUGGUUGCCAGGGUUGAUUUGGCUGAUCAGACUGGCUAGGAGGGUGUCCCCUUCCUCCUACUCCACUCUAUAUUCAUCUCUCUGAAGCUGCAAGCUUGGUCAAAGAGAAUGACACCCCCAAUAGAGGAGGACUAUUUCUUCAGUCAAGGGUAUACGAGUAGCUGCCCUCCCCU
Molecule: small nuclear RNA, 208 nt
Filed under: Fukomys damarensis (Damara mole-rat)
Lineage: Eukaryota; Metazoa; Chordata; Mammalia; Rodentia; Bathyergidae
Description: 7SK RNA
Rfam family: 7SK RNA
About the family: 7SK was discovered as an abundant small nuclear RNA in the mid-70s but a possible function has only recently been suggested. Two independent studies have found that 7SK RNA binds the CDK9/cyclin T complex (known as elongation factor P-TEFb). P-TEFb activates transcription by phosphorylating the C-terminal domain of RNA polymerase II.
Source: Rfam by way of RNAcentral